AUGAACGCUGGCGGCGUGCCUAAUACAUGCCAGUCGAGCGAACGGACGAGAAGCUUGCUUUUCUGAUGUUAGAGGCGGACGGGUGAGUAACACGUGGAUAACCUACCUAUAAGACUGGGAUAACUUCGGGAAACCGGAGCUAAUACCGGAUAAUAUUUUGAACCGCCUGGUUCAAAAGUGAAAGACGGUCUUGCUUUCACUUAUAGAUGGAUCCGCGCUGCAUUAGCUAGUUGGUAAGGUAACGGCUUACCAAGGCAACGAUGCAUAGCCGACCUGAGAGGGUGAUCGGCCACACUGGAACUGAGACACGGUCCAGACUCCUACGGGAGGCAGCAGUAGGGAAUCUUCCGCAAUGGGCGAAAGCCUGACGGAGCAACGCCGCGUGAGUGAUGAAGGUCUUCGGAUCGUAAAACUCUGUUAUUAGGGAAGAACAUAUGUGUAAGUAACUGUGCACAUCUUGACGGUACCUAAUCAGAAAGCCACGGCUAACUACGUG
Molecule: ribosomal RNA, 496 nt
Filed under: uncultured bacterium
Lineage: Bacteria
Description: partial 16S ribosomal RNA
Rfam family: Bacterial small subunit ribosomal RNA
Source: RNAcentral